UACGUAGGGACCAAGCGUUGUCCGGAAUCAUUGGGCGUAAAGCGCGCGUAGGUGGCCAUUUAAGUCCGCUGUGAAAGUCAAAGGCUCAACCUUUGAAAGCCGGUGGAUACUGGGUGGCUAGAGUACGGAAGAGGCGAGUGGAAUUCCUGGUGUAGCGGUGGAAUGCGCAGAUAUCAGGAGGAACACCAAUAGCGAAGGCAGCUCGCUGGGACGUUACUGACACUGAGGCGCGAAAGCGUGGGGAGCGAACAGG
RNAcentral lists this ribosomal RNA (253 nucleotides) under uncultured bacterium. RNAcentral's name for it is "partial 16S ribosomal RNA". It matches the Rfam family "Bacterial small subunit ribosomal RNA", at positions 524 to 776 of the family's 1533-position model. The record is from RNAcentral.